Molecule: ribosomal RNA, 254 nt
Filed under: uncultured bacterium
Lineage: Bacteria
Description: partial 16S ribosomal RNA
Rfam family: Bacterial small subunit ribosomal RNA
Source: RNAcentral
UACAGAGGUCUCAAGCGUUGUUCGGAUUCAUUGGGCGUAAAGGGCUCGUAGGCGGCUUGGCAAGUCGGGUGUGAAAACUCCAGGCUCAACCUGGAGACGCCACCCGAUACUGCCAUGGCUAGAGUCCGGUAGGGGACCACGGAAUUCCUGGUGUAGCGGUGAAAUGCGCAGAUAUCAGGAGGAACGCCGGUGGCGAAGGCGGUGGUCUGGGCCGGAACUGACGCUGAGGAGCGAAAGCGUGGGGAGCGAACAGG